Molecule: long non-coding RNA, 3738 nt
Organism: Rhopilema esculentum
Lineage: Eukaryota; Metazoa; Cnidaria; Scyphozoa; Rhizostomeae; Rhizostomatidae
Source: RefSeq, a predicted model, not a curated record
AAAGAGCACCUGUAGGAAAUACUUGCUUUUAUUUGCCCAAUUAUAAUGGGAGCAAAGAUUAUCGUAAGGAAAAGCUUCUCACGAAUGUGACAUUUGGCUCUAGAUAACACCUUUCAAGUUCUUUUAGGAUUUGUGAUAUUAAACGCUUUCAUGAUUUCAGGAAUGCUAAUUACAAUACUUGUUUCUUUUUCGCAAAAUACUAGGAAGUGGUAUUUCCCUUCAUAAAGUUAUGUAUAAACCAAUUGCUUAACUUAUGUUUAAACCAAAAACGAUAGUGUCGUUUUCAAGCUUUCAGAUAGCCUCCUAUGUAUCUUGUUGAGAACAAUAGAUUUUUGAAUGAUCAGCGUAAUGGCAGGCUUCAGCCUCAUUAAACAAAAGCGGAAUGUGGUUUGCACAUGUAUUAAAUUAAUCAAAUGAGCCAGGUCAUGACACUGCCGAAAUUCAUUACGACCUGACCAACUUUCUACUUUGCUUACAAAUACGUUUGAUGAAACAUGAUUUUCCUGACAUUAGUAAGGGUACGAGCAAAAUUAUUUCUUAUAUAUGGAUGAACAUUCAUAAGCAUGAAUGAGGCUUUAAUUUGAUUCUAUGCUGGCUUUAAUUUUAUGAGGCUUUAAUUUAACUAUGCUUCCAUCUCUAGCUUAUCCAGUAUCCAGCUUUUUCUAAAGAGUGGCAAUUUGGGGAUUGAUGUCUUGAGAAUGGUCCAAGAACCAAGCUCUAUUUUGGUUAUGUCAGAUUUCGUUAAUGAUUUUAGAUAUCAUUUUCUAUUAUGUCAGAGGGAUAUUUCUUUUUUUUGAAUUUAAAACCAAGCCGGCGCCAGUCAUUUGGAACCCAAUUAUGUCUCAAGUUGAACUAAGCACUUCUUAUUCAAUAUCAACCAACCCAAAUAAUAUAACAGCUCCACUAUACAGGAGUCAGCUACUAUCGUCAAACUUUCAAUUAGACCCCAAUUGUUACCCAGAAUUCAUUUAAACACUUAUGGCAUCCACGGAUUAAGGCGAAAAAGGUUUACCAACCUUUAUAAUGACCAUGAGGUGGCCAUCGAUGAGUGUUUUUAGUCAGUUUUUGUGCCAAAAUUGACGGUUGAAAAAAGAUAUCCACUGUGAAGGAGAAGAGAAAAGUCUUUCUUUCGUUCACCGCACACGGAUGGAAAAUGCCACAUGUGAACAAGAUUUAAAAACAUAUGUAACAUCCGCAUUAGUGCUUCAUGUGUCGUUCCGUUUAGCAGUGUUUGGAUCUAUCUACAUAAACAUGAAAAGGCCACUAUUGUUUAGACAGAAGGAGUUUGUUUCAAUUUUGGGACUCCAUUGGUAACAUUUUGAAUAGGCAACAAGCACUAAUUGGGCAACCUCAACAGUCAUGUGAUCACAUUUCUAAUUGGCCAAUUUUGAUCCACAACUGGCCCAUCCAAUAAGACGCUUCAUUUGAAAUCGGUUAACCUUAUGAAAUUGCAAUGUUGCAAACAUAGUGAAGAAUGGUAAGCAAUGAUACCAGUACAAGAUCUUUUGAAAGUAUUUGUAAGCAAUUUUCUUAAAGUAAAAAUUAGAAAAACGUAUCGAUCGUGAUAAUUUCAUCUUAAUCCAGUGAAAAAUGCAUGGUUAAAAAUGGAAUUCACCAAGAGUCUAUCAUUUAGGAACACCAACAACAUCUCUCAUGUAUUUCAUAGAUUUGCCAUGCCAUGUCAACUCAGCAUAAGACUUCUUCAAAGAGCUUGUUAUGUGGGCAUUUUCAGUUUUGCCAUCCUCUGUCACUUGCUGGUGCACCUUAAUUGAGAAAAAAUAACUAGUUGAAAAUCAUUUUGCUAUUUGAGCAAAAAAAAUACUUUGAGUGCCUGGAACAAGGACUUGGAGUGCACUUUCUGCUGCACAUACCAUAAAAAGCAAUCUGGCUUCCACUACUCUCAAGUCUGUAUUCCACUGGGAUUAAGGGGGUUUUGGUAGGUGGGUAGAUGGAAUAUUUCCAAAAUCAUAAUGGAUGGGGUGGAUGGGAAGCAGUACCUUUAAAUUUGAAGCAGAAGGAAAAUAAACAGAAUGCUGUUCUCUAAAAGCUUUUGCUUAAAAUAGGUUAUAAGUUUAACAGAACCAGAUAAUAAAAUGUCCAAUUAUGACGCUUUCUCAAGUUUCUUAAUACACAAGGCUCUACAGUAAAAACAGGGUGUCUGGAAUACGGAUAUCUCAAGUAGAUUAUUUCCAAAAAAGCGAAGACAAGGGAGAAACAUUAAACCUGGAGAGUAGGACCAGUAUUCUAUUUUUCUUGAAACAAUUAUACUAAUCUACAUUAGAUGUGGGUUUAGAACGUCCAAUUGCAGUGUUAACAUGGUGUUGGAUGUGUUUGGAUGUUCAUUGAGUUUUUUGAGCCUAUAUUAGAUGUUAUGAACAGGGCUGCAUUCAGAGUUUUGGGGCCCUGGGCACAAAAAAGAAUGAGGGCCUGUAUGCAGAUAUACGUACCUAUUUGAUUUUGAUUAAGUGUUAAUAUACCUUCCAAUAGAACCUGUCAAUACUCGAAAAUUUGGACCCUCUUGCGCUAGGGGCUCUAUGCACAGUGCCCAGUAUGCCCUGUUGUUAGUGUAGCACUGGUUGUGAAAUCUUAAGCAUUGUGAAACAGAUUCUAAUUUUAUCCAUGUUCAAAUCUGAUAUCUCCCUGUUCUGUGGCCUUAGAAAUCAAAGGCAGAGGACUCUUAUAAUAGAUUGAAAAAUGCCUUCUUACCUGUGGGAUAUUAACCAUGUGUUUGACUGGAAGGCACCCUAAUUCACUUAAAAAUGGUCGAAGUGCCAUGCAUGCAGAUAUACCACCUUGCUGCCCCAUUGAAUAGGUAACCAUAGCCGAAGGCUUGAACUCAAAGCUACAGGAAAAAGGAAACAUAUAAAAAGACAGAAAAUUGACUCAAGUUUCUCUCUUGUCCUAAGAACUAGUCAUUCACACCCCAAUUAUCAAGUUUUUGAAACACCACUGAAUACCAUGACAAGAAGUUCUUGGCAAAUCAUAUAUCUUAUCUAGGAUCAUAAUAAGUUAUAAUUUCUUACAGCAUAGUAACUAGCUGGUCAUUUAUAUCUAUCACAUCAAUCAGUCCUUGCACCAAACAAAGGCUAACCAUUGGCUGCCAGCUUUUAUUUGUUGACAGGGUGUUUUAAACAGAAUUUAGCUAUUUAACAAAACAGCUUUCUUGAGUUCAUUAAAUUUUCGUUCCGACUAGGUGAUUAAGAACAUGUAAGUGCGUUUAUUUCUAAUGGCUUAUUUGCAUGGAAGUGACAGAUUCACUCUCAAAGAAUUCAAAGAAUAAUAACAUUGUAAGAAACCUUUUCAAAAUAAACCAAGACGUUAAAAUGUUGCAAAGCCUCUUAGCUGUUAGCCCUACAAGCCUAAAAUAACAAAGCGUGGCCCUACAAGCCUAAAAUAACAAAGCGUGGCCCUACAAGCCUUAUGGCCUCAUACAAAUCAACCAGCAAAGUCCAGCAAAGUCCAGUGACUGGGACACAGCUCAAAUUGGCCAAGAAAAAUUGUAUCUUUUACUAGCUUUUUCUUGAGAUACAAAUAUUUCCCAAAAAAGAAAAAUACAAAAUGUUUACUUUCAGUUGGGAAAAAUAUUUGCAUGUAGAUGCCACCAAUAGAUUAAAAAACAAGUAUGACAUUAAGUUACAUUUUAGCCAAUCUUAAACUUCCUUGCAAACCAGAAAACUCAUUUAAUAGAUGGUCAUAAAGCCACAGCAUUUCCUUAUAACUGCAAGUCUUGCUGAAAUG